RNAcentral lists this ribosomal RNA (253 nucleotides) under uncultured bacterium. Its description in RNAcentral is "partial 16S ribosomal RNA". It matches the Rfam family "Bacterial small subunit ribosomal RNA", at positions 524 to 776 of the family's 1533-position model. The record is from RNAcentral.
UACGGAAGGGGCUAGCGUUGUUCGGAAUUACUGGGCGUAAAGAGCGCGUAGGCGGCUUACCAAGUUGGGGGUGAAAUCCCGGAGCUCAACUCCGGAACUGCCCUUGAUACUGAGGAGCUUGAGUCCGGGAGAGGUGAGUGGAACUCCGAGUGUAGAGGUGAAAUUCGUAGAUAUUCGGAAGAACACCAGUGGCGAAGGCGGCUCACUGGCCCGGUACUGACGCUGAGGUGCGAAAGCGUGGGGAGCAAACAGG